This 1040-nucleotide ribosomal RNA is filed under the name Rhytidhysteron thailandicum. RNAcentral describes it as "SSU rRNA". It matches the Rfam family "Eukaryotic small subunit ribosomal RNA", at positions 73 to 1121 of the family's 1831-position model. The record is from RNAcentral. Lineage: Eukaryota; Fungi; Ascomycota; Dothideomycetes; Hysteriales; Hysteriaceae.
AUUAUACCGUGAAACUGCGAAUGGCUCAUUAAAUCAGUUAUCGUUUAUUUGAUAGUACCUUACUACUUGGAUAACCGUGGUAAUUCUAGAGCUAAUACAUGCUAAAAACCCCAACUUCGGGAGGGGUGUAUUUAUUAGAUAAAAAACCAACGCCCUUCGGGGCUCCUUGGUGAAUCAUAAUAACUUAACGGAUCGCAUGGCCUUGCGCCGGCGACGGUUCAUUCAAAUUUCUGCCCUAUCAACUUUCGAUUGUAGGGUAUUGGCCUACAAUGGUAUCAACGGGUAACGGGGAAUUAGGGUUCGAUUCCGGAGAGGGAGCCUGAGAAACGGCUACCACAUCCAAGGAAGGCAGCAGGCGCGCAAAUUACCCAAUCCCGACACGGGGAGGUAGUGACAAUAAAUACUGAUACAGGGCUCUUUUGGGUCUUGUAAUUGGAAUGAGUACAAUUUAAAUCCCUUAACGAGGAACAAUUGGAGGGCAAGUCUGGUGCCAGCAGCCGCGGUAAUUCCAGCUCCAAUAGCGUAUAUUAAAGUUGUUGCAGUUAAAAAGCUCGUAGUUGAACCUUGGGCCUGGCUGGCCGGUCCGCCUCACCGCGUGCACUGGUCCGGCCGGGCCUUUCCUUCUGGAGAGCCGCAUGCCCUUCACUGGGUGUGUCGGGGAACCAGGACUUUUACUUUGAAAAAAUUAGAGUGUUCAAAGCAGGCCUUUGCUCGAAUACAUUAGCAUGGAAUAAUAGAAUAGGACGUGCGGUUCUAUUUUGUUGGUUUCUAGGACCGCCGUAAUGAUUAAUAGGGAUAGUCGGGGGCAUCAGUAUUCAAUUGUCAGAGGUGAAAUUCUUGGAUUUAUUGAAGACUAACUACUGCGAAAGCAUUUGCCAAGGAUGUUUUCAUUAAUCAGUGAACGAAAGUUAGGGGAUCGAAGACGAUCAGAUACCGUCGUAGUCUUAACCGUAAACUAUGCCGACUAGGGAUCGGGCGAUGUUAUUAUUUUGACUCGCUCGGCACCUUACGAGAAAUCAAAGUUUUUGGGUUCUGGGGGG